AGUAACACGUGGGUAACCUGCCUUACAGGAGGGGGAUAACAGUUUAGAAAAGACUGCUAAUACCGCAUAAGCACACAGUACCGCAUGGGUACGGGGUAGAAAAGAUUUAUCGCUGUAAGAUGGACCCGCGUCCGAUUAGAUAGUUGGCGGGGUAACGGCCCACCAAGGCGACGAUCAGUAGCCGGUCUGAGAGGAUGAACGGCCACAUUGGGACUGAGACACGGCCCAGACUCCUACGGGAGGCAGCAGUGGGGAAUCUUCCGCAAUGGACGAAAGUCUGACGGAGCAACGCCGCGUGAACGAUGACGGCCUUCGGGUUGUAAAGUUCUGUUAUACGGGACGAAUGGCGUAGCGGUCAAUACCCGUUACGAGUGACGGUACCGUAAGAGAAAGCCACGGCUAACUACGUG
This 410-nucleotide ribosomal RNA is filed under the name uncultured bacterium. Its description in RNAcentral is "bacterial SSU rRNA". It matches the Rfam family "Bacterial small subunit ribosomal RNA", at positions 109 to 507 of the family's 1533-position model. The record is from RNAcentral.